Molecule: ribosomal RNA, 513 nt
Filed under: uncultured Glomus
Lineage: Eukaryota; Fungi; Glomeromycota; Glomeromycetes; Glomerales; Glomeraceae
Description: SSU rRNA
Rfam family: Eukaryotic small subunit ribosomal RNA
Source: RNAcentral
AGCAGCCGCGGUAAUUCCAGCUCCAAUAGCGUAUAUUAAAGUUGUUGCAGUUAAAAAGCUCGUAGUUGAAUUUCGAGAUCAAAUUGUUGGUCGUGCCUCGGUACGUACUGGCAUUAUUGAUUUCUCCCUUCUGAAGAACCUUGAUGUCAUUAAUUUGGUGUCUUGGGGAAUCAGGACCGUUACUUUGAAAAAAUUAGAGUGUUUAAAGCAGGCUCACGCUUGAAUACAUUAGCAUGGAAUAAUGAAAUAGGACGUCUGAUUCUAUUUUGUUGGUUUCUAGGAUCGACGUAAUGAUUAAUAGGGAUAGUUGGGGGCAUUAGUAUUCAAUUGUCAGAGGUGAAAUUCUUGGAUUUAUUGAAGACUAACUACUGCGAAAGCAUUUGCCAAGGAUGUUUUCAUUAAUCAAGAACGAAAGUUAGGGGAUCGAAGACGAUCAGAUACCGUCGUAGUCUUAACCAUAAACUAUGCCGACUAGGGAUCGGAUGAUGUUAAUUUUUAAUGACUCAUUCGGCG